AGUAGCCAACCGCUGUAAAGGAAACAAGCUUCUGACAGCACCGACUCGACGGCGGGGCACCGAUGUUUGCAGCCGGCGCUGCCCUCUCUCGACGCCGGGCCUCGUUGGAACUGCUUCGCCAAUUGCGCCGGACCACUUCUGUCGCCCCACCACAGCCUCCCUCCCUCUCCACCGUCGCGGCGGCGGCAGAGGGCAUCGGCCCACCGCCGAUUCGCGUCUCGCUCACCGAGUCAGCCGGCCGAGGCGUGUUCGCUACCCGAGGAAUCGCCGCCGGCGAACUCAUCCACUCCGCCCAGCCUCUCGUCGCCCACCCCUCGCCGUCUCUCCUUGACAAAGUCUGCUAUUACUGUCUGAGGCGGUUGCAAAAGGAGGCAUCUCCGAUCGGUACCUCUAUACCGGGAGAGAACGAGAGCUCGAAGACUACCGCUUGCUAUUUCUGCAGCGAGAGUUGCAGAGAACAAUCUAAGGGUUUCUAUGAGGUCGAGAAGGGACUAGAUUGGACUUUGUUUGAUGACCAUUGCAGUAUGAGGAGAUUGAAAUAUCCUUUGAUGGUGAAGCGGCUGGCUUGUAUGAUUUUAUCAGGAGCAGCAUCUGUAGAUUGCCUUGACAUACUCCAACCAGCCAGUUUACAUCCCGAGACACUUCUGGAGAUGGAGGAUGAGUUUCAAUUGUUGAAGGACACUUUUACGAAGGGGCAGUUUAAAAAUGACUCAAUGACAUUUUUAACCAAGGAGUGGUACAUCAAUGUGCUUGCAAGGAUUCGUAUAAAUGCUUUUCGCAUUGAGUUGGUUGCAAAAACUUAUGAAGAAAUGCUUAAAUCAGCGGCUGCCUUCAUUGCAGCUGAUGCUGCUGUUGGGAAUGCUAUUUAUAUGCUUCCAUCAUUCUACAAUCAUGAUUGUGGAAAUGUUUACUGAAGCAAAAAGUGAAUACCUUUCUGUUGUGGAAUUUUUAAAUGGUUCAUCUUAAGGAUAAAAAUUCCAUUCCAUUGACACGGGGCGUACCAGCUGGUGGCUAAAAGUCUAUAUGUUAUGCCAUCCCUAGAGACUGCCGUAUCUGCUACGGGAUUUAAACUUCCCUCCAAGGAUGAUAUGCUGUUCAUGUAUGUUAAAGAGAUCCAAAUGCAAAUAUCAUCUGGUUAGAGAAUGCAAAUGCAAAGUUGAAGGCCCUUUGUAACAUCGAAGCAGGUGAGGAGCUUCGCAUUUGCUAUAUUGAUGCCAGCGUGGAAUUCGAGGCUCGACAGAAAAUUCUUGCUGAAGGAUUCGGUUUCCAGUGCGGCUGUCUUAGAUGCUCAUCUCGUGAUUAAGAAGCAUGGCAACCCCCGCCCGUGCAGGGAUUAACAGUUAUAUAGCUUGAUUCAACAAGGAAGCAGAUCUCAAUUUCGGUGCAAAAGGAACAUAUAUGUGUAGUCAUGCGGGCCUUGAGACCAGACAUUAUGAGAUAUGGUUUCUCCAUGUCAAUGUAGUAGAUAAACUUCUUCCGUUCCUGUUUUGUUUUCCUUUCACAUGACAAGCUUCAAAGUUCAUGCUACAGGACAGUUCUCAUCCUUCAUGGUGAUGAAGAUGAGGGUAAACUUGUACUCGUUGGUUUUGGCUGAAUAUUUCCACGGUUAUACUCGA
RNA transcript from Musa acuminata AAA Group (dessert banana), 1616 nucleotides. It is a transcript of the gene named histone-lysine N-methyltransferase ATXR4, with no coding region annotated. The record is from RefSeq and is a predicted model, not a curated record. The transcript has 9 exons. Lineage: Eukaryota; Viridiplantae; Streptophyta; Magnoliopsida; Zingiberales; Musaceae.